This 460-nucleotide ribosomal RNA is filed under the name uncultured bacterium. RNAcentral's name for it is "partial 16S ribosomal RNA". It matches the Rfam family "Bacterial small subunit ribosomal RNA", at positions 338 to 795 of the family's 1533-position model. The record is from RNAcentral.
CCUACGGGAUGCAGCAGUGAGGAAUAUUGGUCAAUGGGCGUGAGCCUGAACCAGCCAAGUCGCGUGAAGGAUGACGGCCCUAUGGGUUUUAAACUUCUUUUAUAAGGGAAUAAAGGUAUCCACGUGUGGGGAUUUGCAUGUACCUUAUGAAUAAGCAUCGGCUAAUUCCGUGCCAGCAGCCGCGGUAAUACGGGAGAUGCGAGCGUUAUCCGGAUUUAUUGGGUUUAAAGGGUGCGUAGGUUGGUUAUUAAGUCAGCGGUGAAAGUUUGUGGCUCAACCGUAACAUUGCCGUUGAAACUGGCAGACUUGAGUAUGCUUAGGGUAGACGGAAUGCGUGGUGUAGCGGUGAAAUGCUUAGAUAUCACGAAGAACUCCGAUUGCGAAGGCAGCGUACUAAGGCAAGACUGACGCUGAGGCACGAAAGUGUGGGUAUCAAACAGGAUUAGAUACCCCUGUAGUC